RNAcentral lists this ribosomal RNA (136 nucleotides) under Geotrichum candidum. RNAcentral's name for it is "partial 18S ribosomal RNA". It matches the Rfam family "Eukaryotic small subunit ribosomal RNA", at positions 1698 to 1831 of the family's 1831-position model. The record is from RNAcentral. Lineage: Eukaryota; Fungi; Ascomycota; Dipodascomycetes; Dipodascales; Dipodascaceae.
UUAGUGAGGCUUCCGGAUUGAUUAACUGGAGAGGGCAACUUUUCUGGUUGAACGAGAAGCUAGUCAAACUUGGUCAUUUAGAGGAAGUAAAAGUCGUAACAAGGUUUCCGUAGGUGAACCUGCGGAAGGAUCAUUA